This 335-nucleotide unclassified non-coding RNA is filed under the name soil metagenome. Its description in RNAcentral is "partial contains 5.8S ribosomal RNA, internal transcribed spacer 2, and large subunit ribosomal RNA". The stretch from base 1 to 120 matches the Rfam family "5.8S ribosomal RNA", at positions 35 to 154 of the family's 154-position model. The record is from RNAcentral.
GAUGAAGAACGUAGCGAAAUGCGAUAAGUAAUGUGAAUUGCAGAAUUCAGUGAAUCAUCGAAUCUUUGAACGCACAUUGCGCCCGCCAGUAUUCUGGCGGGCAUGCCUGUUCGAGCGUCAUUUCAACCAUCAAGCCCCCGGCUUGUGUUGGGGACCUGCAGCUGCCGCAGGCCCUGAAAACCAGUGGCGGGCUCGCUAGUCACUCCGAGCGUAGUAAUACAUCUCGCUCAGGGCGUGCUGCGGGUUCCGGCCGUUAAAAAGCCUUAUUUACCCAAGGUUGACCUCGGAUCAGGUAGGAAGACCCGCUGAACUUAAGCAUAUCAAUAAGCGGAGGA